AGCAAAGGGAGCUGUGGAAUUUCUACUCUUGCCACUAGUUUACAGACAGCAGGGGAAGCACUGAUUACACAUAGCUUCUUUCCAUCUUUCCAGCUGUGAAAUGAAGCCUGAAGAUAAACAGGAGGCUGAGACCACCCAGACUGCUGGGAAGGUGGAGCCUGUUAAUGCUGUGCUCAUCCAAAGGCACCCAAAUGCCCUGCAGACUCUUGGACAACAGUUGCUCCGUAGUUUGAGGGAGCCAAGAACUCCUGAGCCGAGAAGAAGGUGCUGCAAAAAUUGGAUCUGCCUGUUGGCAGGCCUAUUGUUUCUUGCUGGACUUGUGCUGUUCAUUUUACAUGAGGGCAAUAUCCUUUCUGGUCACCCACAUGCCAAAGUACACUAUGAAKAA
Molecule: long non-coding RNA, 388 nt
Organism: Apteryx owenii (little spotted kiwi)
Lineage: Eukaryota; Metazoa; Chordata; Aves; Apterygiformes; Apterygidae
Source: Ensembl